Long non-coding RNA from Coccinella septempunctata (seven-spotted ladybird), 1247 nucleotides. RefSeq lists it as uncharacterized. Lineage: Eukaryota; Metazoa; Arthropoda; Insecta; Coleoptera; Coccinellidae. The transcript has 2 exons. The record is from RefSeq and is a predicted model, not a curated record.
UGUGACGUUGUUUUUGCCGCCAAAACAUGUGUAAAGUUAAAAGUUUACCCAUUGCAGUUUUUACUACAUACAAGGGAAUCUCUGUAAUAUGUGAUUAUUAACUAACAAUGUUACAUGACAACUGUCUAUCUUAUUAUCUGUAUGUGGUAUCAAUUUCUGGUUAACCUAGACUUUGGUGGUGUGACGGUUUAUUUUGGAAUAUGGAAUAUUGUUUUGGAAGUUGUUUAGUUAAACAUGUAAGAAAUCAGGUUCUUCUGUACUAAGAGUUGAUGAAUUGGAUCUGAGAAUAUUUCAUGAUGUGAGUAUGCAAUCAUCUUAUAAUGCUGUAUUUCAGGAGCUAAUGAGUAAGUAAGAUCCACUUAUGAUUUGUAUAUUUUCUUCUUAAGCCCAUUUGUAACAGCCGAAAAUUCUUUGGAGAAUUCUCUACAGAAUUUUGGCAAGAAAAUGACAGAAAUUUUUUUUAUGCAACUGAACAGCAAAUUCUACUGAAAGAACGUAUGUAACUGCAGAGAAUUCUCAGUGUAUGAAAUCACAAGUAAAUUCUGUAGAAAAUUUUCGGCUAUUGCAAACAGGCUUUAAAUGAAAUAUUCACUCCUUUUGUGAAAGCAUUGAUGGCUACUGAAAGUGGUUUACCUGGCUUCUAUCUCCAUUUCCAAUACUCAAUUGGUUCAAUUUACUGAAAACAAAUCCACAUCUAAUAGGCUAAUAGUAAAUUGUAAGUCUUUUUGGUUACAGCUUGUUCUGUUCAAAAGUUAAAAAAUCUUCCUUCACGUUCAGAUCUGUCUGUGACUGAUGUUGGAUUUUGCUGCGAAGGAAAUGCUCUAUUUGCACAUAGAGGAUUCAGAUUUGCCUUUAAGAAAAUGUACAUUUUCAAAGAUAUCAGGAUGUUUUAACAUUGAUACUACAAUUAUUUUUAUUUCGACUGAGUUGGGUCUACAACUUCUGGUUUAUAUGGAAAUGGCUGUAUUUUUCAAAUUUCUUGCAGUCUGUAGAUGUGAUGUAUAUCUCAGCAUAUUUGAAUUCUAUGUUGAUACAAUAUCAGACAACAUGUAAACAAAAAAAAAUCAAGGAAAACCCAUAGGAUCUAUCCUGAAGUGUUUGAAAGAAGCUUUAACACAUGCAGUAUUAAAAUUUAAUUACAUGAAAAUGUACAUACAUAUAUGUAUAUGAUGAAAAUAUUUAUAUGUAUAUUUUGCAAUGUGCUAUUUUUCCCCGAUAGAUCCUAUGUCCUAAAUAUCACAGUACUU